RNAcentral lists this long non-coding RNA (12978 nucleotides) under Setaria italica (foxtail millet). Its description in RNAcentral is "long non-coding RNA (SITA_LNC001465)". The record is from RNAcentral. Lineage: Eukaryota; Viridiplantae; Streptophyta; Magnoliopsida; Poales; Poaceae.
UGGCCGGCCAUCCCGGCCGACCGGAGCAAUGACGUAGCACCAGCUGGUCAUGGAGCUCAUGAUCAGUAAUGCGUCUUCUUCCUCCUGAGGAAGCUCUCGACCCACUUGCUGGACUGCUUGCGGUAGCGCUUGAGGCCAUUGAGGCGAUCGAUGAAGAUGAGGCCGAAGCGAUCCAGGUAUCCAUCCCCCCACUCGAAGCAGUCCAUGAAGGUCCAGGUGAAGUAUCCCUUGACGUUGACGCCGUUCUUGAUGGCGUGGUUCACGAACUGCAGGUGCUGGGAGUGGAACUUGAUCCGGUGCCCGUCCUUGAGCGCCUCACUGAGCGGGAUCCGCGGGCUGUUCUCCUCGGCGAUGCCGUUCUCCGUGACGUAGAUGACGGGGUUGUUGUAGCGGCGGGCGGUGUAGAGCAGGAGCUCGCGGAGCCCCGCAGGGGAGUUGAAGAAGAUGGGCACGAACUCCGGCUCGCCGACGGACACGCCGUCGCGGAACCCGGAGGUGUUGGCGCGGAUGUCGCCGUCGUAGGACUGCGCGAGCGCGUUGGCGGGAGCCGGCCUGUCCGACGUGAAGUAGGAGGUGUAGUAGUUGACGCCGAUGAAGUCGUACGACCCCUUCACCAUCACCGCCUCCUCCGCCGUAAACCUCGGCAGCCGGCCGCCGAGGUAGGCGCGCAUGGUGCCCGGGUACUCGCCGCGCACGAUGGGGUCCAGGAACCAGCCGUACAUGAAGUCGAGGCUGCGCUGGACGGCGCGCUUGUCGGCGGCGGAGUCGGUGGUGGGCACGAACCAGUGCGACACCGCGGUGAGGCCGAUCUGCCCGCGCUGGGAAGGCUGGUACUUGGCCUGGUAGAGGCGCACGGCCCUGGCGUGGGCGAGGAGGAUGUGGUGCGUCACCACGUAGGGCUCGCGGCCGGAGUCACCGGGGGUGCAGGACCUGGAGAUGAACGGGGAGCACCGGCCCGGGGCGUGGGCGCCCGUGCCGUACCCCUGCGACGCGUACGUCCACGGCUCGUUGAACGUUGUCCAGAACUUGACGCGGUCGCCGAACUCCCGGAAGCACACCUCCGCGAAGUCCACGUAGUCCUUGCUGCACAGUUGCGAGUUAGUUGUGAUCAGCCUGUCAGGCAACUGAUCGAUGAUGAUAAUGUGCUGAGUUUUCUGUCAAGGUCAUGUAUGUUUGGCUAUAGGCAUCCAAAUGUGGAUGAUCGAGGCCGGAUGAUAUUCCUUAAUUAAAAAAAAACAGAAAGGAAUUGGUCGAUGGCAUGUUGUGGCAGAUGCAUACAUGAUGUUCUCGCUGAGGAAGCCCUGGUACUUGGUCUCCAGGGCCUGGGGUGUGUCCCAGUGGAAGAGGGUGACGAACGGCUUCAGCCCUGUCACGAGAUUUUUUUUUUAUGUCAGUGUCAUCGUUGAAGAUGGAUUUUUAUAUAUGCCUCGUGGAUGCCAAGGACGAUUAUUUAAUUGAUGAUCAACUACCUACCAUUCGCUAUGACCUCGUUGAUGAGGUUGUUGUAGAAGGCCACCCCUUCCUUGUUGACUCCACCGCUCAGGGAGCCAGCUGCAGCAGCAAAGCACGUGGUGACACACAACUCAAAGCAAAGAAAUUCAGUGAUCUGGAUGGUCAGGUGGAGCUUGUGACCAGUACUCACUUGGCAGGAUCCUGGUCCAGGCAAUGGAGAACCGGAAGGCAUCCAUGUUCAUGUCCUUCAGGAGCUUCACAUCCUCCUGCAAAUUGGUCACAUUCCAUUUAUCAACGAUUAGCACAUACAUAUACAGCUCGACUCAGUGGUUUGAAAAUGCUAAGCACAUUGGAUUGGAGCUAAUGAUAAGUCAUCCAGUCACCUUGUAUCGAUGGUAAAAGUCUUCUGCUACAUCGCCAGUAUCAUUGUUCUUAAUUUUACCUGCAUUCAUUCGCAGAUCGUGGGCAUGUCAGUGACUACCACUCGAUCUCUGCAGCUCAUCUUCAGACUAGGGACAACUUCAUAGAGAGAGACGCAUGAAAAGUUCGUUCAAGCAAACCUGGGAUGUGACUGAAGGUGUCCCAGAUGCUGGGACCUUUGCCUCCUUCCUUGUAGGCGCCCUCGUACUGCAACCGAUCAAAAAACAACACAUGUUCAGAGCCUCAGAUCACCAUGGCGCGAUGAUCCAUGAAUGCAGCAAGGAAUGAAGAACGUAGUACGUGGCAACGAACACAUGCAUGGCUGGAUGGCAGUGGCGGAGCUUGAACAAUUAAUCAGGGGGCCAGCUAUGCUAAUUUGCUCUGAAAAUCAAUGAACAGUAGCUGAUUCACUAUUCAUAUAGUGGAGAUUUCCAAUAGCCAGGGGUGGCCAUGGCCCCCUUUACACUACACUAAGCUCCGCCCCUGCUGGAUGGUGAAUACACCACAAAUGCAGCUUGUGCAAAGGCAGACAGGAGACGGGGGUCGUCCAGAAUGUGCAGCCAGAGAUGAGCGUCAUCAUCACCUGAUACGACGCGGAGCCGGUGCCGAAGACGAAGCCCUCCGGGAAGCUGUACCUGCUGAACUUCGCGUGGGCGACGUUGCACGCGAGAGCUGCGAGGAGCAGAGCGGAGAGCACCCGCUUCGGCGCCAUCCCAGUUCCAGGACCCAUCGUUCUCGGAAGAACUGGGAACCGGAAAUGGCGAUGAAUCGGUGGUGCAGCACUGUCAGUUCCAAGCGCUAUUUAUAGAGGGAACCGCAGCAUUUGCAAAGUCCCUACUCCCUAGCUGUCCUAAACGAUUCCUUACAUCUACCACAUCUAGGCCAUGUUUAGUUACUCCCAACUCCCAACUUUGACACUAUGCAAAAAGAAGAUUCCCCAUCACAUCAAACUUGCGGUACAUGCAUGGAGUACUAAAUGUAGAUGAAAUUAAAAACUAAUUGCACAGUUUUGUUGUACUUUGCGAGACGAAUCUUUUGAGCCUAAUUAGUCAAUAUUUGGACAAUAAUUCACAAAUACAAACGAAACGCUACAGUGUGCUACAGUGCUGUAACAGUAAUUUGGCACCUCCCAAAUUCCCCAACUAAACAAGGCCCUAGAUUUUUUUUUCUAGAGGGGACAGGACUUCAUGAACGAGACAGCUCGAUCUCAGUGCCGGGAGGUGUGUACAUGCGGAUCUGGGCUGUCCAAGUUGACAGAUAGGAUUGUUUAGUUGGAUGAUCGGUGCACGCUGUGACGCUGACACCGUAACAGUUUCUCAUUGGGACGCCAAUUUGUAUGCUCGAUUUGGUCUUCGCUCUUGAUUUCAUGGCCAGGUUGACUCGAAUAUUGCGGAUGCGGCGGAGGUUCAGAUGUGCGCAUCGAUGGAAGAGUUGAGCUUUAAUCGGAAAGGACGAUGAUCGUGGAUCUGAUAAUGCGGAUCGUGGAGAGUUGAGAUAUGCGGAUCAGAGAGAGUUGAACUCACGCCCAAAUUGCAGCCAAACGAUUGAUAAAUUGGAAUGUAUUAGGUGAGUAUACUGUAGUACUGUACUCUUUUUUUUAGAGAAUCAUACGGAUACACGUACGCACACUCGCUCCUACGAACAUACGCACGCAACUGUCGUUGUCAAGAUUAGCAGAUUAAGACCAAGGCUAGUAAAUUUCUUUUAUGCAUGUAAGGUUUCGGAUGGUGGCGUGAGAGGACACGGGAUUAGACUGGUUCGGGCAAGGAAAGCCUUACGUCGAGUAUGGGGAGUAGCUCGUGUUACUCACGCAAGGUCUGUAGUAGGGGUUGCAAACGGGCGAGAGAGGGAGCCGAUCCCAAGUCUCUUGGGUGUGCACUGAUGCUCUAGAGGUGAGUAUGUGGGUUCUGUUGGCUUCUGAGUCCUCCCGGUACUGGAGCCCCUGGUUCUCCUUUUAUAGCGCAAGGAAGACCCAGGGUUACUGGUGAACCGGGUGUGUGGAGAAGUAAAAGAGAUAAGCUAAAUAAAGUAAAGUAAAGUGCAAGGGGAAGGACCAAGUCCCCGGGUCGCCGCCUCCCGCUCCGUCUUCCGGCUCUUGUCAGCACGUCCACCGGAGGAGGGCGGCUGUCUUCGGAUCCUGUCGACGAUCUUCCUGGCGACCGCUGCCGUCAAGCACGAUGAUGGCGUUCGGUCGUGGCAACUGUGCAUGUGGGGGAGACGGCUGACCCCUGUUGCCUUGCUUAUGGCCCGUGGAACACGGACGUCGCGUCCCUGCCGCCGGAUACGCGGGGCGCAAGAACGGGCGGAGCUCCCCCCUGUGCCGGGCGGCGCAUGCCAUGAGUACCCUAGCGAAGCGGGAUGUUCCCUGCCCAUGCUGGGCCGAUGGUAAUCGUUAUUACCAUAGGUGGGCCUGGGCCUCCGUGAUUGUUGUUUUGAGGGGUAUUAGGAGAUCGUUAAUAUUUCCCCCCAACAGCAACCCUACCCUAUAAGCACCUCCGAAAUACUGAGCCGGCAAAUCCUCAAGAUUGACAAAAUCAUCACUGACAUCUCGCUGUCGACGGGCACGUCGCCUACACCAGUUAAAUCAUGGAAUAAAUUCAGAAAAAUAUAAGCAUCAGUGCUGAGUCGAGAACUUGAAGUCUGGUGGUCGGGUUCCACCACAACGAACCUAACCAGCUAAGCUACACUCCGUUCGCUUUUUAGCACAGACUUGUACUCGUAGACUAGGUCACCAGCAUCAUAGACAGGGUACCGUAAGACCUGUUUGGAAGGCCUCGGCUUGAAUAGACCUGAGUAUUUUUCAAAUCGGGUUGGUCUUGUUCUUUAAGAAAAAAGAUCAGUUCAUUUCGGGUUGAAAAUUUAAUUCAUCCCUAAUCUUAAUCUGAAUUUAGGGGAACUCCAGGACCACGCACAAUUAGAAGCGCAAUAGGCUUCAAGCGGUGCAUAAGGAAAGAGUCGCAGAGUCUAUCUGGAUGAUGAACGUUGUUGCUAGGGAGGUGCUUGAAGAACCAGAUGUAGAGUCGGGCUAGCAGUCGAUUAAUGCGGUGGGGCAGUAUAUGCCAUAGUUUGGGGGACUCCAGAGCUAUGCACAACUUGGAGCAUGGUAGGCUUCAAGCGGAGAUGGCGUGCAGGCUAUAGGCGACAGCCAAUAGUCCACGAGUGGAGGGAUAAGAGAGAGAGUUGGUGAUUGGGAACGGCAGCGCUCACCCUUUGGGUCUGGCAGCACCAAAAAGUUUUGAUGGCUUUCGUGGUGGCGAAGUCAGCUGAGGUUUUAGCUAUGUAUAUUGAUCAAUGGACAUGCCCAUCCCAACCGCAAACAUUUGCUAGUUAAUUAUAAAAUUACUAGGAUUUGAUCUGAACGAGGCGUAUGACCGUAGGAGUCGUGGAUUUGAUCUGUACACGCACACGCACAAUGAGGCGUGACUGCGCAGCACAGAUUCUCACAGGCCCACGAGGAUCCUGGCCGCCGAGAUGCCCUCUCUCACGUCAGCUCCUUAGCCUCGAGCCCUCGACAUUGCCGACAUCGAGUCAUCCACACAAGGUGCAUCAAACCACCCGAGUACUUUUGCUUCUAGCUUGGGGGUUCAAUUCAUGCUCAUAAUAUGCCAGUUCGUUCCUGAUGCUUUAGCUUGCCCAACCAGCUUGUGUGGAUACGUGGAAUGAACAGGCAGUUUGGAUGUUUAAUGAUUCUGUACCAGAACACAGCGGGCUGCCCAAAAAGGAUUCGUUUUGUUAGUUGUCGUUAGUUUAAGCCCAUUGGUAUUACGAGCAAAGGAAAAAAGAACAGAUUUAUAUAUGCAUCAAGCCUUGCUUAGAAGUCAGAUCAAUUUGUGUGUGCUCCAUGAUCUAUAGCCUAGAUGUCUGAUUUUUAUGGAAUGUUUAUUCGGCAUGAGAUGAGAAGGAACGAGCAAACUACCAAACAAACAUAAGAAUCUGUACAAGCAUUCGUGCCGACUUGGAGCUAAAAUACAGUCACUAUUCCAAAAGAAAUCUCCAUUCCAGUUUCCAGGACGCAUGCCCAUCUCUCCUGAAAGCCCGUCCAACCAACCUCCAGUAUCGAGUCUGCUUCAUCUUCUGUGAACUCCAAUGUUUGCAUAGAAUAAUUUGUGUAUUUAUACUUUUCAAAAAAAAUAAUUUUUGUAUUUAAAACUUAAAAGUAGCUAAUUAGUGUCAUCACCAUCUUGAUGUUUCAAUUGACAAAGCGAAGUUAGACCAGGAAAGGAGUCAUGAAAAAUCAAGGGAGCGGUAACAAGACAAUCGGAUGCAGUGAUCUUGCUUGUUAGAAGUGAACAAUCAAGUCUUCAUACAUGAUCCUUAUUGAUCCUCUGAAUUACUACUUUCAAUUUACAAGGUUCUGAUGAUGAAAAUGACCAUGAUGCACGGAGUUAUCAACAAAUGGGCUCAAUUAGUGACAUGUGGCAUGAUAGGAAGCCCCGGAUUGAGGCCCGGCUCUCCUCUUGCCUCGCAUUGCAUGGGCUCAGUCAGGGACCUUUCAAUUCACCGCCAGGGUGCCAAUCGGUUUUGGCCUUUUGGGUGGAUCGGAGUGGUUGCAGUCCUGCACGCGGCUAGGUAUCGGCAAAACAUACGGUAGACAACCCACUUCUGAAUUCUGAUUUGGAUUACUACUCCAUGAACCCGUGCUCCUGCACGGGUUAAUAUUUUUAGAAAAUAUUAUAUUUAAAAAUUAUUUAGAAAUUAAACUCCUAACUAAUAAUCAAAAUUGUUUAUCUACUACUCUCUUAUUUUUCAAUACUUCAACAUAAUACUUAUAUAGAUAUGUAUGUGAUUGAUUUUUAAUUAAUAAUUACUCAAUGCACUUUUUCAUCCAUAUUCAUAUUUUUUCCACUUUGUAUCACACCUCCAAUCCUCCAUACAUUAUGUUUAGCAUAUAAAUCAAUAUUUUUCAGUGAUUCCUCACAUGCAUGUAUCAAUGGUCUAAAUGAUGGCACUCAUCAUAUGUAUAUACUUUAAAUUAGUAUUUCUAUAUUAACAAUGACAUAAAUAGGUAAUUUACAAUCAUAUAUUAAUUUACUUUGUGAUAUUUCUGUAUGAUGCACAUGAAGAUAAUUAGAUUAAGAUUUAGGUGCUUUACUUUAGGUUAUUUUUAAUAACGACAUACGUGGAUAAAAUAGAUAAAAUUUUAGAAUUACAUUUUAAGUUAUGCUUUAUAAUGAUGUGUAUCAGUAAAUUGGAUGAAGGUUAUGGGAUUAUUUUAGAUUAUUUUUUAUAAUAGUUGAGCUAGGUAAUUGAAAUAUAGGUUUAGAGCUCAUUUUUGAAUAUUUUCAUAAUAAUAGUGGUGGGUAACUUUUUAGAAAAUAUAAUAUAUUAAUGGCUAUGGUUAUUAGAGUUUACAGGAUUGGCAUUUGACGUUUUAAAUUUUUAUGAGAAUUUGUCUCUUUUUUCUGGUUUGUCUCAUGGGAACUAAUGUGGAGCCUCCGUGUGGCGACCGACCCCGAAAUCUUCCGAGUUAAUCUUAAUCCGAGCCCUGAUCACCUGUCUUAGUUUUCCAAGCCUAAGUGAACCAACCUCCAGUCCGGUCCUGACCCCUAAGGCCCGACCCCUCUCCACUGGCAUCCAGUUCCGACCCCGCCGACCCCAACUCACUCGCCGGAUCUUUCUGAGUCAUCCCCCAACACCUCCCUUCAAUCUGACUGGUGGGCCCACGAGAUCUUUUCUCCCAGAUCCCCCACGACAGGCGCACUCGAGUUGCAUGCUCGCUUCAGAGUUCCCCCGCCGCGUGGCUCAACUCCUCCGACGUCCGCCGCUCCGCCUCGUCUUCGGCCCGCGACCAAAUGGAUUCUCGCGCCCUCCUCCCCAAUCGCAGCGGAAGCCCCUCUGCAACCUUUCUGCAGCACCUCGCCGCCCGCGCCCAUCAUCACAUCGCCAGAUCCCGGCCGCAGAGCCCGAUGUCGCCCAUCUUUUCCGUCACCCCGCCACAGUCGCGCCGCCCGGUCUUCGCUACACGACGAUUCCUCCUCCGCCAACCCCGACCACGGUAGCGAUAGCUCCUUUUCCCGCCCUGUCAGAAGCCGCUCGAUAAUCUGUUGCUCCGCGCUCGCCCGCGCGCCCGCAGCCGCCUAUCUUCUCACCUGUGCGCCCUCGAUCCUAGCGCCGUUUUCCCGGUCACUUCCAUCAGCUCCACCGCACGACGACGCCCGCAUCCGCCAAAUCUCAACCACCGACAAACCCGCGCCUGCGCCGCCCUGACGCCAGAGCCCAAUGACCGCCGGCGUCAUCCCCGAAGUCCUGCUCCACCGCCCUCGUCGCUCAAUCGCCGCCCGGGCAGAGCACUCCAUUGCUUCUUCCCCGGCCUUCGCGCCGCUCCCCUUCUCACUCCCGCACCGCUAUAAAAGGGAAUACGCGAGCACCGCCGGAGUCCCCUUUGCCAUCGCUACCCUCCCGCCAUUUCUCUUGCUCCCUGUUCGAGCUCCCAGCGCCACCACACUAAGUCCCUGAGGAACUCUCCUCUCCGCUCCACACCGCCUUCCCCAAUCCACCCAGCCGCUUGCUUCUCCGUGCUGCGUAGGAGAUUACUUGUGAUCCACAAGAAGCACCGCCGCCGCCGGAGCACCGCCGGACAUCUCCGCCGCAAGUCUUAGUGUUCCAGUUCCUCCGUCCGAACCUGCUCUUCCCCGACCCCAAGCUUUCCUUAUAAGAUAAAGGUAAGCUGCCGACCCCUUUUUCCGCCUCGUCCGACCCUUCUGUUCGUCCGACCCCUUUUCCGUCUCGCCCGACCCUAUCUGUUCUGCCGACCCUUGUCCGCUUCGCCCGACCCCUCUUAUCCGCCCGACCCCGGUUCCAUCUCGCCCGACCCUAUCUGUUCCGCCGACCCUUCUCCGCCUCGCCCGAGGGCUCGGCUGUAUCUUUUUCUUUGAACCGAGGGUGUAUGUGUAAAACUUGGGGACCUUUCAGCGUUGAGUCUGAGGACCCCUAGCACAACUAUUCCUCUAGUCUAAGGAUCCGAUCAUAAGUUCCUUUCCUCCGACCCUUACCUCUUGAUCUCCACCAACUCCCUUGAACCUCCCCACCCUCCUGUAACUUGUCGCAAGUUUCUGGGCUCAGACUUGCAAGUGUUGUUGUCGAAAUAACCGUCUAAAUGCUAACUCUUGCAUUGCAUUUUCGUGUAGAGCUGCGUCUCGCCGACGGCUCCUACGAGCUGCACCCGGCGCCAGAAGACGACGGUGUAGCUGAGCUCCUGCCCCCAGAAGCCGAAGCCGCCCAAGCAGAAGAGCAGCUUCCUCCUUUCUCGCUUGAAGGAAAGCCCCGGAUGCAUGAAUCCCCUAUGUUUUGCUAAACUUGCGCAUGCCUUCUUUAAACAUGCUUGUGCAUUUACGUAUAGGAGUUGUUUGGAACCAUAGAUGCAUAACCUAGCUCCCUUGAUCUGAACACUAGCUGUUGGAUCGGGUAGAUGCUUUGCUCAAGUAGGAAGCGGUAAAAGCCGAGUGAUUUCCUGUCACUCGCGAGUUUAUAGGAGUUGGUUGAGUUCUCUUCUGUUACAACUGUAAGGACGAUGGACGGGGUAGGGUUUUUGGGUAACUCUUUGGUGGUCGGUUGAUCGCCCCGUCUGUUUAUGAAACUUGCUAAGGCCCGACAGUGGUGGUGUUCGUGAUCAAGUGUUUGAAGGUACUAAUCUCAUACCUAGUAUGGGAUGGGGAAGCCUAGUACCUGAUUGAACUAGGGCGUGGCUUAUACCCCUAUUGUCCCUGGAACGAGGUUCCCAUGGUGCAUCAUGUGGGUGCAAGUGCGGUCACAGUACGGUAGAGGCCGGGACUGUGGAGCAUUGCAUGCCAAGGGAAGUUUGGACCUGACACGCGCCUGGGAAUUGAUGGGGACGGCCGACACAGGAAGCGGCCCUUGUGGUGCGCGGAUGUCGUGAGAUUAGGUUCGCCAUGCAUGGUUAAGAAACUCGAAUCGAUUCGUCUGCCUCUCACAGUUUGAGACUGCUUGAUCGCUAUGUCACCCUAAGUAAAUAAGGAAUCUGAUGAUGACAUGGUUUUGUUGAUGAUAUAUAUACCGUUGGUUGGUUCUAUGAUUGCUUAGAAUAGGUUGCAAACUUAGACCGGUUAAUGAACUUAGAACCGGAGCUAAAACUUGAAAGUAGGGUUACACCUAACGCUUUUGGCAAACAAACCCCUCAGCCAAGAAGCCUUGCAUGUCUAGAAGAGGUAGUUUAGCGCGCUUCCUGUCGGUUAAGUCUUGUUGAGCUUAGUAGCUCAGCCUUAUUGUAGCUUUUCUUUUUCAGGCGAAGUUGCUGUUCCCGAGCCCCCUUCUGCUGGCACUUGGCCACCCCAACUCCCUCCGGGUUUGACGGUUGAGUGGGAUCCCUCCUCGGACGGUGAGGAGAGGGAUCGCUGACGUCCUGGCUGGCCUCACCAGGGAUGUCUGACCCGACGAGUUCGCUUCCGCUAGUGUUUUACCUUCUGUUGUUUUUCUUUUGAACCUUGUAAACUCUGAUGUGUUUUGUGGCCAAACUAAAUGGGUAAUUCUGUCAACUCGGUGCACUUGUUGUAUUCGCUGGAAUCGCUCACCUUCGUGUGGGUUUGCUAAAUGGUCCUGUUCAAGUGGUUAAAUCGGAUGAAAUCCGACGGCACUUCGUGUUUACUCGGUUUAGGCAUGAGCGUCGCGUAUCAUGCGGCUAAAUCAUGUUUAACCAAGUAGAUACGAAGUGGAUCCGCCACACUCCGAUGGAAAAAAAAUGAGACUACACUGCUAAAAAACUAUUACCAUAAGAUAGCUCUCGUUUGUUAAAUAUUCGAACACACAAGGCUUAUGUAGAUAUAUACUUAAUAUCUUCAUCCAAUUAUGAUAUAUUUUAGUUAGUAAUUACUCUAUAAUAUUUUCAUCCACAUUUAUAAUCUUUAACUUUCACUUUGCAUCGCAGGUAUGCGCUUGAAUUUGUUUAAUGAACAUUAAGUUUGAGAUACAAUUUUAGCAUAGAAAUCUAUAUUCUCAUCACUUUAUAUCUUAUAAAUGGUGACACACAUCAUGCGUAUAGACCUUAAUUAUUAUAUCGUAUAACAAUAGUGCAAGAUAUAAACGAUUUAGAAUCAUAUAUUGCUGUAUAUUUUAAAUUAAGGUUAUUUGAUUCAAACAUAGAGUUACCUCAUGUUAUUUUUAAUAAUAGCAUGUGUGGGUAAUAUAGAUGCAAAUUUAAGGGGUUACUUUAAGUUUUUUAAGUAAUAGUGGUAGGCAAUUCAGUUGCAAAUUAGGGGGUUAUUUUAAAUAUUGUUUAUAAUAGGAUAAGUGGGUAAUUUUGAUGAAGAUUAGGGGGUUACUUUAGUUUAUUUUAUAUAAUGGCAGAGGUGGGUAAUUUAUAUAUAGAUUUAGGGGGUUACUUUAGGCUAUUUCAUAAUGGCAUAGGUGGGUAAUUUUUUAGAAAAUAUAAUAGAUCCAAUGGCUAUGAUGAUUUUAAUCUAUCGAUUGAUGGUUAGAUGUUUUUUUUUGUGAGAAUUUCUAGGGUCUCUCUUUUUCUAGAGUGUCCACCUAGGAAUCCUAGGUGGCUUCACCUUGAGGCUUCAAAAUGAGCCUUCAAUUAGUAAUAGUAAGAUAGUGAGUAAGGGUUUCUUUCUAACCUUUUUGUUGCAAUUAGAUUUCAUUUGGAAGUUCACCUAUUGAAAAUAGCAUGUUCUCAUAAAAACAUUGUAAACUAUUUUGCAAAAGAGAACAAAAAUAUUGAUAACAAACUUUCACAUUCAAACUUGCUUAGAAAUCAGUAGGCAUCUUUGAACUUUGAAAUAGCCACUCACCGCAACAGUAAGUACCAAACAGAGUCUAAAUCAAUCGAGAUCAAAUAUAUCCUGGUCACAUCUUCACUUUGUUCAUUCUGAUUGAGAGGAAUGGAACUACAAUGCACACGUCCGACUGACAGAUAGCUCAGCAGCGAGCUAAGUGGCCUGUUUGGCUCACCGUGUUAAACUUUAGCACCCGUCACAUCGAAUAUUUGGAUACUAAUUAAAAGUAUUAAACAUAGUCCGAUUACAAAACUAAUUGCACAGAUGGAGUUUAAUUCGCGAGAUGAAUCUAUUAAGCCUAAUUAGUCCAUGAUUUGACAAUGUGGUGCUACAGUAACCAUUUGAUAAUGAUGGAUUAAUUAGUCUUAAUAGAUUUGUCUCGCGAAUUAGACUCCAUCUGUGCAAUUAGUUUUGUAAUUAGCUCAUGUUUAGUCCUUCUAAUUAGUAUCCGAACAUUCGAUGUGACCCUGCUAAAGUUUAGUACCUCAUAUCCAAACACCCCAUGAGUACUCUAAAAAAGUCUUCCCCAAAACUAUAUAUUGGGGGUUAUUCCAAAAAAAUUCCCCAAAAAACAUAUUAAUCCACAGCAGAUCGCUAAUAAAUAGUCCCCAAUAUUUUAAAACAGGCCACGUCAUCGUAUUGGGCCCAUCGAAAGGGACGCACGAGCGUGCAGGAAUCAGGAUUGGGGGAGGAAUGCCAACGCUAAAAUAUACGCGGUGGUAGGCUAUUUUUUAGCGUUGCUAAAAAAUUGGGGAAUGUUUGAGUGGACUGUUGGAGUUCGUUUUUUCUCUUUUUUUCUAGAAAAAAGUAUUAGGGGUAAGAUUAGCAGUCUCUUGGAGUUGCUCUUAUUCCCUUUCCUGCCAGCACACUCCACGACAGCAACAGCGACCCCAUAGACUACAGGCCCACACAGCAGCAAUCACUCUCUGCAAGCAAACACACCCGGCCCAUCCGCAAGACCGCGAACAGAUUAAGUGCCAUUGGCAACAACGACGCGGCGGCACCAGCUGUAGUUGCUGAAAGAACAGGGGAUCGAUCGACGAUGUGGAUGGACCUCGUGACCAGUGGGCGCGGCGAUCUUCGUUCCAUCUAAUACCGCUUCAGGAAGUUCUCUAUCCAGUAGCUUGACUGCUUGCGGUAGCGCUUGAGGCCAUUGAGGCGGUCGAUGAAGAUGAGGCCGAAGCGAUCCAGGUAGCCGUCGCCCCACUCGAAGCAGUCCAUGAAUGUCCAGGUGAAGUAGCCCUUGACCUUGACGCCGUUCCUGAUGGCGUGGUUCACGAACUGCAGGUGCUUGGAGUGGAACUCGAUCCGGUGCCCGUCCUUGAGCGCCUCCUCGAGCGGGAUGGAGGCGUUGUUCUCCUCGGCGAUGCCGUUC